RNAcentral lists this ribosomal RNA (424 nucleotides) under uncultured bacterium. RNAcentral describes it as "bacterial SSU rRNA". It matches the Rfam family "Bacterial small subunit ribosomal RNA", at positions 28 to 479 of the family's 1533-position model. The record is from RNAcentral.
GAUGAACGCUGGCGGCGUGCCUAACACAUGCAAGUCGAGCGAUCUUCUUCGGAAGAGAGCGGCGGACGGGUGAGUAACGCGUGGGUAACCUGCCCUGUACACACGGAUAACAUACCGAAAGGUAUGCUAAUACGAGAUAAUAUGCUUUUAUCGCAUGGUAGAAGUAUCAAAGCUCCGGCGGUACAGGAUGGACCCGCGUCUGAUUAGCUAGUUGGUAAGGUAACGGCUUACCAAGGCGACGAUCAGUAGCCGACCUGAGAGGGUGAUCGGCCACAUUGGAACUGAGACACGGUCCAAACUCCUACGGGAGGCAGCAGUGGGGAAUAUUGCACAAUGGGCGAAAGCCUGAUGCAGCAACGCCGCGUGAGCGAUGAAGGCCUUCGGGUCGUAAAGCUCUGUCCUCAAGGAAGAUAAUGACGGUACU